AGUGAACGCUGGCGGUAGGCCUAACACAUGCAAGUCGAACGGCAGCACAGUAAGAGCCUGCUCUUACGGGUGGCGAGUGGCGGACGGGUGAGGAAUACAUCGGAAUCUACUUUUUCGUGGGGGCUAACGUAGGGAAACUUACGCUCAUACCGCAUACGACCUACGGGUGAAAGCAGGGGAUCUUCGGACCUUGCGCGAUUGAAUGCGCCGUUGUCGUAUUAGCUAGUUGGCGGGGUAAAGGCCCACUAAGGCGACGAUCCGUAGCUGGUGUGAGAGGAUGAUCACCCACACGAGAGCUUAGACACGGUCAUGACGCCUACGGUAGGGAGCAGUGGGGAAUGGUGGACAAUGGGCGCAAGCCUUAUCCAACCAUACCACGUGGGUUAAGAAGGCCUUGGGUGUGGAAAGCCCGUUUGUUGGGAAAGAAAAGCAGCAGGUUAAUACCCCGCUGUUCUGACGGUACCCAAAGAAUAAGCACCGGCUAACUUCGUG
RNAcentral lists this ribosomal RNA (492 nucleotides) under uncultured bacterium. Its description in RNAcentral is "partial 16S ribosomal RNA". It matches the Rfam family "Bacterial small subunit ribosomal RNA", at positions 29 to 507 of the family's 1533-position model. The record is from RNAcentral.